AAAAAGAUAAGCUAAAUUCAAGCUCAUGGGUUCAUACCCCAUUUAUAGAGAAACCUCUUCUUUUUA
RNAcentral lists this transfer RNA (66 nucleotides) under Phryganogryllacris superangulata. RNAcentral's name for it is "tRNA-Met". The record is from RNAcentral. Lineage: Eukaryota; Metazoa; Arthropoda; Insecta; Orthoptera; Gryllacrididae.